This 253-nucleotide ribosomal RNA is filed under the name uncultured bacterium. RNAcentral describes it as "partial 16S ribosomal RNA". It matches the Rfam family "Bacterial small subunit ribosomal RNA", at positions 524 to 776 of the family's 1533-position model. The record is from RNAcentral.
UACGUAGGGUGCAAGCGUUAAUCGGAAUUACUGGGCGUAAAGCGUGCGCAGGCGGUUAUGUAAGACAGAUGUGAAAUGCCCGGGCUUAACCUGGGAACUGCAUUUGUGACUGCAUGGCUAGAGUGUGUCAGAGGGGGGUAGAAUUCCACGUGUAGCAGUGAAAUGCGUAGAGAUGUGGAGGAAUACCGAUGGCGAAGGCAGCCCCCUGGGAUAACACUGACGCUCAUGCACGAAAGCGUGGGGAGCAAACAGG